GAAAGCGUGCGAUUCUUACCCAAAGGCCCUUUUCAGGGCCACCUAUUCAGUCACAGAAAGAGUUGGCACGCUUUUUGGUUCUGCUGUUUAAGUUUUUUCCAGGCUGUGAGGUUCAAUCCGUGAAAGGUAGUGUGGAGAGGUCGCCUGCGUGCUUUUUCUCGGCCGUUUUCCUCCAGGACCCGUUUUUUUCCCGGUUUCAAAAGCAUCUUUUUGGCAGCUGUCCAUGUUCAGGUUUGUUCUACCAAGUCUGGGCUCAUCUCAGUCUUCAGACACCAUUCCCUGUUGUCCACCUAAGUCUCCGUUACUGAUGAGCGUUCCAACGUCCCCGCCUCAUAAUCCUGUGAGUUUUUCAAACCCGGGUCUUCGUCAUUGAAACCCCGCCUUCUCAGCCUGUCUGCUAUUGAGAGGAACGCUGUCCUGCAGUGGGUUAUCUGUAUCCUGUUCUUAAGCUGCUGGAAACCUUGUACCAACUGCCAGCAUUUCACUAUAUCCUCCGAUGUCCUGGUGUAUUUGUUUUUUUGAAGAGUCAUUGGGGAUCUUCGCAAUGUACUCGCCUUUAUCCACUGAAGGCUGUUCAGCAGAAUAAAGGCGCCCCAAGGACUACUAGCUUUCUAACCCCAGGCAACAGGUGCUGGCCUUUCUGGCUACAGGUGAGCACGUGGAAGAGUCAGGAAGUCAGCGGAACUCGUUCCCAGGUGUGGGCUUUAAAACCUCCCCUCUUGCCUCCAGAUAAAGGUGUGGAUCUUGUUUGUCCUCACAAGACCUCAGGCCUGGGGGAUAGCAGAACAACGACUCGAGGGAGAGUCCUGGAUUGAUCAGCAGCGGCUGCGUGAAUCACAACAGAUGUGUCCUGUGACAUGAAUAACUGUCCUUACGGAGUCUCGGUUACAGCCCUUCACUUUACAAACCAAACACGGAUUUGUUUUCUCAGUUUAUGAAGCAGUGUGGAUUAGUCCCUCUGUCCACCUGACAGCGCUUUAAGGAAAGCUGACUCCAGAUGGGUCUGUUUCCUGUGUUCCUAUGUGUUGCGCCGUGUUCCGUUCUGGACAGGGCGCAGGGUAAGAGCUCAUGUUAGAAAUGCACGGACUGUCCAAAUACUUUAAGCAGCUGUAAUCUGAAUAUUUGAAAGUGCUGUCCUCUUUAGCAGAG
This 1149-nucleotide long non-coding RNA is filed under the name Lynx canadensis (Canada lynx). RNAcentral describes it as "lncRNA (ENSLCNG00005001439.1)". The stretch from base 20 to 65 matches the Rfam family "Histone 3' UTR stem-loop". The record is from RNAcentral. Lineage: Eukaryota; Metazoa; Chordata; Mammalia; Carnivora; Felidae.